AAGGAAGAAAUGAAGAUGAUUCUGUAGAUGUACGAGAGGGAUGAAAAACAGAAGGAUGGAGGAAAAAAUUCAAGUUACGCCCCGGAUCUUUAAUUGUGGCCUUAUUUGGGUUUCAUGGAGAUAAUCAUGGUGAUUUUUUCAAAUGUAUGGAUCAAUGUCAAAGGAUGCUUUUCGACUUUAGCCAUUCACAAGUUAUGGACAUCAUCUUUACUAUUAAAGAUAUUACAUUCCACUCAAAUGAAAAUAUCAUGUUAUUUGUUGGCUCGGGAAACAGUCAAGUGCCAGAAUUUGAUGUUAAAGUAACUCAUUAUCCAAUGAAUGAGCAAAAAACUUGAGGGAAGAUUGCCUGUUGCUUUACUUUCUCACGUCUUUACAAUAGCAUCUGGAACUAGAUUACAAGGAAGUGCAAUUUUAUGCUCAGAAAUUGGCUCAUUAAUCUGUUACCUUUACCUGUGAUGAAUGAUUUUACCUUACCCCAUUUUAUUAAACCAUCUAAUCAACUUAUUACUGAUAGUCAACCAUUUAAACUGAAUGACUAACAUUUCCCUGUAAGUUGUCAUUGCUUUACUAACACAACAUCUUUAAGUGAAAUUUGUUUUUACAUUAAAAAUAUAAUGUUGUAUUUAGAACUUUCUUA
Molecule: long non-coding RNA, 637 nt
Organism: Tetranychus urticae (two-spotted spider mite)
Lineage: Eukaryota; Metazoa; Arthropoda; Arachnida; Trombidiformes; Tetranychidae
Source: RefSeq, a predicted model, not a curated record